GAGAAUUUCAAUCGCAGACAGUCUAAGUCUGUGAUGUUAGUACCUUCCAGCUUUAAUCUUUUUUAUAAAAUAGAACACUGCUAGAGGGAAGCCAAAGGUACUCAAGGAAUAACAGCUGCUGGGAAGCCAGGCUACUUUCUGGAAGCAUGGAAAACUGACAGAAACAUAAGGAGCAAGACUUUGAAGCUGGCAUUUUAACCCCAGGAUUGUACUUACCUUUUGAAAAGCUGCGUCUGGCAUUCAAGAUUUAUCUCUGUUCCAAGCAGUACAUGUAACAACCUAAAAUAAGGGCUGAUCCUGGAGAGACAGACCACAUCAAACCAGAAGACAGAAUAUGAGAUGUAUAGGAGAAACAUUCUCUUAUAAAUGUGACUCGAAGAAAAGAACAAAAUGCAAUGUAUAAGUAUCCACAAAGAUUUGAUGAAUACUUUCACAAAGCCUGGUUAUUUUUUCAGCAAUCUGUAUCUUAAGCAAAUUAUAAACAGGUUUCAGAACUGGGGUGUUCAUGAGUUACGUGUUAGGCUAAUGAUAGGUAAACAGAUUAAAGAAAGUCUUUUUACCUCAGUGAGUGUAUUUUUAACUUAAUAGUUUAAACUACAAUAAUUUAAGCAUAUAUAUUGUUCUGUUUAGAAACA
Molecule: long non-coding RNA, 635 nt
Organism: Gallus gallus (chicken)
Lineage: Eukaryota; Metazoa; Chordata; Aves; Galliformes; Phasianidae
Source: Ensembl